UUCGAUCUCAAAUCAGGUAGGACUACCCGCUGAACUUAAGCAUA
RNAcentral lists this ribosomal RNA (44 nucleotides) under uncultured Thelephoraceae. RNAcentral describes it as "partial 28S ribosomal RNA". The record is from RNAcentral. Lineage: Eukaryota; Fungi; Basidiomycota; Agaricomycetes; Thelephorales; Thelephoraceae.